CUGGCGGCGUGCCUAACACAUGCAAGUCGAACGGAGUCAAGAAGCUUGCUUUUGACUUAGUGGCGGACGGGUGAGUAACGCGUGAGUAACCUGCCUCUGAGAGGGGAAUAACGUUCUGAAAAGAACGCUAAUACCGCAUAACGUAUCGAAGCCGCAUGACUUUGAUACCAAAGAUUUUAUCGCUCGGAGAUGGACUCGCGUCCGAUUAGUUAGUUGGUGAGGUAACGGCUCACCAAGACCGCGAUCGGUAGCCGGACUGAGAGGUUGAUCGGCCACAUUGGGACUGAGACACGGCCCAGACUCCUACGGGAGGCAGCAGUGGGGAUAUUGCGCAAUGGGGGCAACCCUGACGCAAGCAACGCCGCGUGAAGGAUGAAGGUUUUCGGAUUGUAAACUUCUUUUAUCAGGGACGAAGCUUGACGGUACCUGAUGAAUAAGCUCCGGCUAACUACGUGCCAGCAGCUGC
RNAcentral lists this ribosomal RNA (466 nucleotides) under uncultured bacterium. RNAcentral's name for it is "bacterial SSU rRNA". It matches the Rfam family "Bacterial small subunit ribosomal RNA", at positions 36 to 518 of the family's 1533-position model. The record is from RNAcentral.